This 490-nucleotide ribosomal RNA is filed under the name uncultured bacterium. Its description in RNAcentral is "partial 16S ribosomal RNA". It matches the Rfam family "Bacterial small subunit ribosomal RNA", at positions 30 to 507 of the family's 1533-position model. The record is from RNAcentral.
AUUGAACGCUGGCGGCAGGCCUAACACAUGCAAGUCGAACGGUAACAGGAAGAAGCUUGCUUCUUUGCUGACGAGUGGCGGACGGGUGAGUAAUGUCUGGGAAACUGCCUGAUGGAGGGGGAUAACUACUGGAAACGGUAGCUAAUACCGCAUAACGUCGCAAGACCAAAAAGGGGGACCUUCGGGCCUCUUGCCAUCGGAUGUGCCCAGAUGGGAUUAGCUAGUAGGUGGGGUAACGGCUCACCUAGGCGACGAUCCCUAGCUGGUCUGAGAGGAUGACCAGCCACACUGGAACUGAGACACGGUCCAGACUCCUACGGGAGGCAGCAGUGGGGAAUAUUGCACAAUGGGCGCAAGCCUGAUGCAGCCAUGCCGCGUGUAUGAAGAAGGCCUUCGGGUUGUAAAGUACUUUCAGCGGGGAGGAAGGGAGUAAAGUUAGUACCUUUGCUCAUUGACGUUACCCGCAGAAGAAGCACCGGCUAACUCCGUG